GAUGAGCGCUGGCGGCGUGCCUAAUACAUGCAAGUCGAGCGAACAGACGAGGAGCUUGCUCCUCUGACGUUAGCGGCGGACGGGUGAGUAACACGUGGAUAACCUACCUAUAAGACUGGGAUAACUUCGGGAAACCGGAGCUAAUACCGGAUAAUAUAUUGAACCGCAUGGUUCAAUAGUGAAAGACGGUUUUGCUGUCACUUAUAGAUGGAUCCGCGCCGCAUUAGCUAGUUGGUAAGGUAACGGCUUACCAAGGCGACGAUGCGUAGCCGACCUGAGAGGGUGAUCGGCCACACUGGAACUGAGACACGGUCCAGACUCCUACGGGAGGCAGCAGUAGGGAAUCUUCCGCAAUGGGCGAAAGCCUGACGGAGCAACGCCGCGUGAGUGAUGAAGGUCUUCGGAUCGUAAAACUCUGUUAUUAGGGAAGAACAAAUGUGUAAGUAACUAUGCACGUCUUGACGGUACCUAAUCAGAAAGCCACGGCUAACUACGU
This 496-nucleotide ribosomal RNA is filed under the name uncultured bacterium. Its description in RNAcentral is "partial 16S ribosomal RNA". It matches the Rfam family "Bacterial small subunit ribosomal RNA", at positions 28 to 506 of the family's 1533-position model. The record is from RNAcentral.